AUCACUUAUCGGUUUUUGGCUAAGAUCAAGUGUGAUAUCUGUUCUUAUUAGUUUAAUAUCUGAUACAUCCCUAGUCUAGGGACCAUAUAAGAAAAUAAAUAAAUAAAUAAAAUUAAAAUAAAAUUUGACUUGUCAUUACAGCACAGAAUGGGGCUCCACUGGAGCGGGCGGCUGUUCGGAGGAACUCCAU
This is a small nuclear RNA of Amblyraja radiata (thorny skate), 190 nucleotides long. RefSeq annotates it as U2 spliceosomal RNA. The transcript has a single exon. The record is from RefSeq and is a predicted model, not a curated record. NCBI's taxonomy places the organism in Eukaryota, Metazoa, Chordata, Chondrichthyes, Rajiformes, Rajidae.